CAGUCGCCACGGUAAUACCGAGGAUGCAAGCGUUAUUCGGAAUGAUUGGGCGUAAAGCGUCUGUAGGUGGCUUUUCAAGUCCGCCGUCAAAUCCCAGGGCUCAACCCUGGACAGGCGGUGGAAACUACCAAGCUGGAGUACGGUAGGGGCAGAGGGAAUUUCCGGUUGAGCGGUGAAAUGCGUUGAGAUCAGAAAGAACACCAACGGCGAAAGCACUCUGCUGGGCCGACACUGACACUGAGAGACGAAAGCUAGGGGAGCAAAUGGGAUUAGAUACCCGCGUAGUCCCUGUCUCUUAUAC
Molecule: ribosomal RNA, 301 nt
Filed under: uncultured bacterium
Lineage: Bacteria
Description: partial 16S ribosomal RNA
Rfam family: Bacterial small subunit ribosomal RNA
Source: RNAcentral